CCAGGGGUGGCAGAGUGGACAAUUGCAGCAGGCUGUAAACCUGCCGGCCUUUGUGCCUGCGGGGGUUCGAAUCCCUCCCCCUGGA
This 85-nucleotide transfer RNA is filed under the name Pseudomonadota bacterium. RNAcentral describes it as "tRNA-Tyr". It matches the Rfam family "tRNA". Rfam says of the family: Transfer RNA (tRNA) molecules are approximately 80 nucleotides in length. Their secondary structure includes four short double-helical elements and three loops (D, anti-codon, and T loops). Further hydrogen bonds mediate the characteristic L-shaped molecular structure. tRNAs have two regions of fundamental functional importance: the anti-codon, which is responsible for specific mRNA codon recognition, and the 3' end, to which the tRNAs corresponding amino acid is attached (by aminoacyl-tRNA synthetases). tRNAs cope with the degeneracy of the genetic code in two manners: having more than one tRNA (with a specific anti-codon) for a particular amino acid; and 'wobble' base-pairing, i.e. permitting non-standard base-pairing at the 3rd anti-codon position. The record is from RNAcentral. Lineage: Bacteria; Pseudomonadati; Pseudomonadota. RNAcentral also lists the same sequence under 1 other name.